This 497-nucleotide ribosomal RNA is filed under the name uncultured bacterium. RNAcentral describes it as "partial 16S ribosomal RNA". It matches the Rfam family "Bacterial small subunit ribosomal RNA", at positions 28 to 507 of the family's 1533-position model. The record is from RNAcentral.
GACGAACGCUGGCGGCGUGCCUAAUACAUGCAAGUUGAGCGAUGAAGAUUGGUGCUUGCACCAAUUUGAAGAGCAGCGAACGGGUGAGUAACGCGUGGGUAAUCUGCCUUUGAGCGGGGGACAACAUUUGGAAACGAAUGCUAAUACCGCAUAACAACUUUAAACAUAAGUUUUAAGUUUGAAAGAUGCAAUUGCAUCACUCAAAGAUGAUCCCGCGUUGUAUUAGCUAGUUGGUGAGGUAAAGGCUCACCAAGGCGAUGAUACAUAGCCGACCUGAGAGGGUGAUCGGCCACAUUGGGACUGAGACACGGCCCAAACUCCUACGGGAGGCAGCAGUAGGGAAUCUUCGGCAAUGGACGAAAGUCUGACCGAGCAACGCCGCGUGAGUGAAGAAGGUUUUCGGAUCGUAAAACUCUGUUGGUAGAGAAGAACGUUGGUGAGAGUGGAAAGCUCAUCAAGUGACGGUAACUACCCAGAAAGGGACGGCUAACUACGUG